Molecule: ribosomal RNA, 492 nt
Filed under: uncultured bacterium
Lineage: Bacteria
Description: partial 16S ribosomal RNA
Rfam family: Bacterial small subunit ribosomal RNA
Source: RNAcentral
AGUGAACGCUGGCGGUAGGCCUAACACAUGCAAGUCGAACGGCAGCACAGUAAGAGCUUGCUCUUACGGGUGGCGCGUGGCGGACGGGUGCGGAAUACAUCGGAAUCUACUUUUUCGUGGGGGAUAACGUAGGGAAACUUACGCUAAUACCGCAUACUACCUACGGGUGAAAGCAUGGGCUCUUCGGACCUUGCGCGACUGAAUGAGCCGAUGUCGGAUUAGCUAGUUGGCGGGGUACAGGCCCACCAAGGCGACGAUCCGUAGCUGGUCUGAGAGGAUGAUCAGCCACACUGGAACUGAGACACGGUCCAGACUCCUACGGGAGGGAGCAGUGGGGAAUAUUGGACAAUGGGCGCAAACCUGAUCCAGCCAUACCGCGUGGGUGAAGAAGGCCUUCGGGUUGUAAAGCCCUUUUGUUGGGAAAGAAAAGCAGCAGGUGAAUACCCCGCUGUUCUGACGGUACCCAAAGAAUAAGCACCGGCUAACUUCGUG